UUGAACGCUGGCGGCAGGCCUAACCCAUGCCAGUCGAACGGUAACAGGAAGAAGCUUGCUUCUUUGCUGACGAGUGGCGGACGGGUGAGUAAUGUCUGGGAAACUGCCUGAUGGAGGGGGAUAACUACUGGAAACGGUAGCUAAUACCGCAUAACGUCGCAAGACCAAAAAGGGGGACCUUCGGGCCUCUUGCCAUCGUAUGUGCCCAGAUGGGAUUAGCUAGUAGGUGGGGUAACGGCUCACCUAGGCGACGAUCCCUAGCUGGUCUGAGAGGAUGACCAGCCACACUGGAACUGAGACACGGUCCAGACUCCUACGGGAGGCAGCAGUGGGGAAUAUUGCACAAUGGGCGCAAGCCUGAUGCAGCCAUGCCGCGUGUAUGAAGAAGGCCUUCGGGUUGUAAAGUACUUUCAGCGGGGAGGAAGGGAGUAAAGUUAAUACCUUUGCUCAUUGACGUUACCCGCAGAAGAAGCACCGGCUAACUCCGUG
This 489-nucleotide ribosomal RNA is filed under the name uncultured bacterium. RNAcentral's name for it is "partial 16S ribosomal RNA". It matches the Rfam family "Bacterial small subunit ribosomal RNA", at positions 30 to 507 of the family's 1533-position model. The record is from RNAcentral.